UAAAAAUGGAUUGUAGGCAGAAAUGCGCCUUUUAAACAAAGGAUUCUUUUUUUUCCCCCUCUUUUAUCCUUAAUUGGUUUAUGAAAAAGAAAAUUUCAACUUAAAGAAAUAUAACCAGAAUUGGCACAAUCAUACACAACUUUUGCUUAUUUAGGCAUCAAACUAUCAAAAUUGAAUCCUCAACUUGGAUAAUUCUUCUUUCCUAUACUUUCUCAGCAAUCAAACAAAGAAACAACUAGGAAAAGAGG
Molecule: unclassified non-coding RNA, 248 nt
Filed under: Hevea brasiliensis (rubber tree)
Lineage: Eukaryota; Viridiplantae; Streptophyta; Magnoliopsida; Malpighiales; Euphorbiaceae
Source: RNAcentral